Molecule: long non-coding RNA, 209 nt
Organism: Indicator indicator
Lineage: Eukaryota; Metazoa; Chordata; Aves; Piciformes; Indicatoridae
Exons: 3
Source: RefSeq, a predicted model, not a curated record
UGAAAGAGAGCAACCAACCCCUAAAACCUGGGUUGGUGCAGCCUUGUCUCUCCCAUGUGUGACAUGGACGGCACUUCAAACAGUCCCCAGCUUCCAGCAGUGGGAAGGAUGCACCAUCUGCAGUCCCAAGACAAGCACAGGAGCUUUGGGCACUCAGAUUCAAGACUUCAAGGGAAAGUCUAAGAAUUAAAGGAGAGGAAGGACUCCUG